RNAcentral lists this long non-coding RNA (268 nucleotides) under Zostera marina. RNAcentral's name for it is "long non-coding RNA (ZMAR_LNC005448)". The record is from RNAcentral. Lineage: Eukaryota; Viridiplantae; Streptophyta; Magnoliopsida; Alismatales; Zosteraceae.
ACACCUGAGGAGAAGGCCAAAAGUACUGAAAGUGGCCAGGAUGUGAGAACUAAUAGAAAUCCAGACCAAAGGUUCUCCAACAUCAAGUGCUAUACACGUCCAACACAUGCCCCAAGAGAGCAGCUAUACACAUUGUACAUGACAAAGGCAAAGCACCAAUGGAGGAGGAUGAUUCUGACGAUCAGAUUGAUGAUGAAGCCCCACCUGAUGAAGGAAAUAGAAUGUCCUGUAUUAUUCAUAGGAGCUGCCAUGUACCUCACACUGACAU